This 1101-nucleotide long non-coding RNA is filed under the name Homo sapiens (human). Its description in RNAcentral is "HSALNT0074907". The record is from RNAcentral. Lineage: Eukaryota; Metazoa; Chordata; Mammalia; Primates; Hominidae.
GUUUAAUGGCUUCUGUGAUGCAGUUUCUUCCUGUUCCGGAUUGUUUGAGCUCCAUAUAUAGGAGGUACCAUCAUCAUUUCAGAGACAUCAGUAUAAUAAGCCCAACGGGAGAAUGAUAUGGCAAUUUCUAAAUUUCCUAGAAGGAUCGCUCAGGAGGAUGGGCUUGAGCAGGCUGCCUUCCAUGUCACACCACCACUGGGCACAUUUUGUUUUUUGGCAACUGCCCCAACAGGAUUUUUUGUUCAUUCUGAAAAUCACAUCGCCAGAUCCAACACCUUUUUAUCCCAAUCACCAGUACAAGCCACCCGUAUCAGUGUACACUGUGGCUGACCGAUCCAUAGUGAUGCUUUGAGCACAAGGAAGGACUUUCUGGAAUCUACUUAUCUGACCAAGAAAGCUUCUUUCCAAAAGAAAUGCAAUUGUCUUGAGACUUCUUCCCUAGGGAUCUGAUCAACUAACCAGAAAAGAGCAACCACCAGAGAAGAGACUGUAGUCGUACAGUGUCCAGAAGGCAAAAGGACAAGUAUGCACUGCCCUACUUACCUACUUUCCACACUGCUGCACAGGAAAAUCUGACAGAGGACAAUAACAAACAUCUCACCAGCUCAUGCGUUCUUUUUUGAUCCUAAUUCCGAGAGACUCACCAAAGACAUGAAGAGAAAACAAACAAUACUUUUCUUGGAAAUAUUGUAAUUGCUGGUACAUUUGUUGUUCUGGCAUAAAGUAGAAAUUGUCAGGUAAACAUUGCUUCCUUUUGGAUCAAAAAGAAAUUUAACCAAAUAAAUGCAAGAGGUAUGAGGGAAGAUAAUGGGAAAUAAAUGAGAUUUGAGAAAUCAGUGGAGGUUCAAGUGGUUUUUUUUUUCUUUUGUAGUUGAUAAUACUCUGUUUUAAAUCAGUGAGUUUUACUUAUAUAUGCUUGUCCUUUUUUUUUUCUAGUUACCAGAACAAUACUCAGUGAACUUAUGAAUAUAUGGUAAAUAUUAAACACAUCCCACUUGGAUGAGAAGAUAUGUGAGUCGAUGAGUAUAGCUAAGUCUAAAGUUAGAUGUGUUCCAUAAACAUAGUGUUUAUGGAGUUGGUGCAUAUUCACUUCUCAGUAAG